Hypanus sabinus (Atlantic stingray) is the source of this 350-nucleotide long non-coding RNA. RefSeq lists it as uncharacterized. The transcript is spliced from 2 exons. The record is from RefSeq and is a predicted model, not a curated record. NCBI's taxonomy places the organism in Eukaryota, Metazoa, Chordata, Chondrichthyes, Myliobatiformes, Dasyatidae.
GCUCUCUCGUCGCUAGGCGUCCGAUUCGAGAUGAGUUCGAAAAGCACAAAUCCAAUCCUUCGGUAUUCGGCUUUUCCGCUCGUCUCUGAGGAUAACUCUGGUUCAUCAGAAAGUGAAGCCUAAAACCUACUAUAAAUCUGUCAAAUUUUCUCUACUUGAUUGCACCAUAUCUCACUGGUACUAUUACAUGGGCCACGGCCUCCUUCAAAAAUGGUUUUAAUAUUAUUUAAUGACUGUACAACAAUUUAAACUUUAAGCAACUCUCCCUCUAUGCUAUACUUUGAAACUCCAUACAAAAAUGACCAAAAUGUAUCAAAUUCAGUCCUAAAAAUAAAUUCUUAUUAACUUAU